This 422-nucleotide ribosomal RNA is filed under the name uncultured Sarcina sp. RNAcentral describes it as "bacterial SSU rRNA". It matches the Rfam family "Bacterial small subunit ribosomal RNA", at positions 355 to 794 of the family's 1533-position model. Lineage: Bacteria; Bacillati; Bacillota; Clostridia; Eubacteriales; Clostridiaceae. The record is from RNAcentral.
UGGGGAAUAUUGCACAAUGGGGGAAACCCUGAUGCAGCAACGCCGCGUGAGUGAUGAAGGUCUUCGGAUUGUAAAGCUCUGUCUUUAGGGACGAUAAUGACGGUACCUAAGGAGGAAGCCACGGCUAACUACGUGCCAGCAGCCGCGGUAAUACGUAGGUGGCAAGCGUUAUCCGGAUUUACUGGGCGUAAAGGGAGCGUAGGCGGAUAUUUAAGUGGGAUGUGAAAUACCCGAGCUUAACUUGGGAGCUGCAUUCCAAACUGGAUAUCUAGAGUGCAGGAGAGGAGAAUGGAAUUCCUGGUGUAGUAGUGAAAUGCGUAGAUAUCAGGAAGAACACCGGAGGUGAAGGCGGCUUACUGGACGAUAACUGACGUUGAGGCUCGAAAGCGUGGGGAGCAAACAGGAUUAGAUACCCUGGUAGU